This 84-nucleotide small RNA is filed under the name Listeria monocytogenes serotype 4b str. LL195. RNAcentral's name for it is "Termite-leu RNA". Lineage: Bacteria; Bacillati; Bacillota; Bacilli; Caryophanales; Listeriaceae. The record is from RNAcentral.
AAAAGAAGGUAGCCUAAAAUCAUAGGCUACCUUCUUUUUAAUUACGGAUUUGACCGUCUCCAAAAAUAAUAUAUUUAGUCGAUG